Molecule: ribosomal RNA, 274 nt
Filed under: uncultured bacterium
Lineage: Bacteria
Description: partial 16S ribosomal RNA
Rfam family: Bacterial small subunit ribosomal RNA
Source: RNAcentral
AUACGAGGGGUGCAAGCGUUAAUCGGAAUUACUGGGCGUAAAGCGUUCGUAGGCGGUUUGUUAAGCAAGAUGUGAAAGCCCAGGGCUCAACCUUGGAACUGCAUUUUGAACUGGCAAACUAGAGUACUGUAGAGGGUGGUGGAAUUUCCAGUGUAGCGGUGAAAUGCGUAGAGAUUCGAAGGAACAUCAGUGGCGAAGGCGGCCACCUGGACAGAUACUGACGCUGAGGAACGAAAGCGUGGGGAGCAAACAGGAUUAGAUACCCUUGUAGUCC